This 492-nucleotide long non-coding RNA is filed under the name Marmota monax (woodchuck). Lineage: Eukaryota; Metazoa; Chordata; Mammalia; Rodentia; Sciuridae. The record is from RNAcentral.
AUCAGGUCUUUUGUUUGGAAGCAAAAUAGAAUCUAAUAUUUCAUUUUCUUUUUUUAAAUUUAUUUUUUAGUUUUCGGCAGACACAACAUCUUUGUUUGUAUGUGGUGCUGAGGAUCGAACCCGGGCCGCACGCAUGCCAAGAGUUUCAUGUUCUAUCUAAACCUAUCUGACUGUUUUUGAUAUGGCUUGAUUUUUUUGAAACAAGUCUUCGGUGACUUAGCUCAAACUUGCACUGAAAGCACAACUUCCCGACUUGCUGUGGGUGGCUGCUGGGAUGUCAUCACUGCACAUCAGAAACAAGCUGCAGCUUUGCUGCUUUGCCCAAGGAUCAGGCCCAUCAGAUGAGUGUCAUGGGCUGCCUGAGGCUGAACAGCACAGGGCUCGGGAGGGUAGUCCCGGGAAGCUGGAGCUUCUCUGCUGCCGCUGUGCACAGCCUAGAAGACUCCUGCCAAGGAGGGCGGAGGCCACCUGGGAAGUGUCCUCUGAGCCCAG